RNAcentral lists this ribosomal RNA (451 nucleotides) under uncultured marine bacterium. RNAcentral's name for it is "bacterial SSU rRNA". It matches the Rfam family "Bacterial small subunit ribosomal RNA", at positions 1051 to 1502 of the family's 1533-position model. The record is from RNAcentral.
GUCGUCAGCUCGUGUCGUGAGAUGUUGGGUUAAGUCCCGUAACGAGCGCAACCCCUAUCCUUAUUUGCCAGCACAUUAUGGUGGGAACUAUAAGGAGACUGCCGGUGAUAAACCGGAGGAAGGCGGGGAUGACGUCAAGUCAUCAUGGCCCUUACGACCAGGGCUACACACGUGCUACAAUGGGAAGGACAAAGAGCCGCGAAGCCGCGAGGUGUAGCUAAUCUCACAAAUCUUCUCGUAGUCCGGAUUGGAGUCUGCAACUCGACUCCAUGAAGUCGGAAUCGCUAGUAAUCGUAGAUCAGAAUGCUACGGUGAAUACGUUCCCGGGUCUUGUACACACCGCCCGUCAUACCAUGGGAGUGGGUUGCACCAGAAGUGGCUAGUCUAACUUAGUGAGGACAGUCACCACGGUGUGAUUCAUGACUGGGGUAAAGUCGUAACAAGGUAACCA